CGCCCACUCUUUGUGGGCAGGCCAAGUAGCCUGCAGCCUGCCCAUGAGCACGGCUGUGGACUCUUGGUGCCAGCGGACAGGUGUGGGCUGGCGCUGUGCCGGUGACACCAACGGUCAUGAUGACGCUUGGACCAGCUCACUGCGGAUCAUGCCGACGAUUCAACGAAUGCGCGCAUCCACCUACUGCCUUUCUGCCUUUGCUGCGCUGCGGUGGUGCUGAGCGUGGUCCCGGGGCCUAGCCUGCGCUGUACGCAGCGGCAUUGCGGUGGGCUGAGCGGCGCCAGGCGGUGCUGGCCGGCCCUGCUGCUUGGCAUAGCCGUGGCGUGCAGCAGAUGCGGAUGAGCUGUGGUUGUGCAUGCGUGUGUGCGUUGACUUGUUCGUGGUGGACGGGCACGUAAAGGAACGCAGAAGGGAGAAACGCUUUUACCCCUCUAUGACUGUUUCAACUGGCGACGCGCUUCACCUCUGUCGGUUGUGGUGUAGCCGUUGCCAUGCAGCCAGGCGAGCGCUCGCCUCUCCUACGACUCUCUGCCUCCCUUCUCUCCGCUGAUCUCUCGCGUUCCCGCUGUCUACUUCAAG
Molecule: unclassified non-coding RNA, 579 nt
Filed under: Leishmania donovani
Lineage: Eukaryota; Euglenozoa; Kinetoplastea; Trypanosomatida; Trypanosomatidae
Description: gene:unknown
Source: RNAcentral